RNAcentral lists this ribosomal RNA (502 nucleotides) under uncultured Gram-positive bacterium. Its description in RNAcentral is "bacterial SSU rRNA". It matches the Rfam family "Bacterial small subunit ribosomal RNA", at positions 351 to 864 of the family's 1533-position model. The record is from RNAcentral.
GCAGUGGGGAAUAUUGCACAAUGGGGGAAACCCUGAUGCAGCGACGCAGCGUGCGGGAUGACGGCCUUCGGGUUGUAAACCGCUUUCAGCAGGGAAGAAGCGCAAGUGACGGUACCUGCAGAAGAAGUACCGGCUAACUACGUGCCAGCAGCCGCGGUAUACGUAGGGUACGAGCGUUGUCCGGAAUUAUUGGGCGUAAAGAGCUCGUAGGUGGUUGGUCACGUCUGCUGUGGAAACGCAACGCUUAACGUUGCGCGUGCAGUGGGUACGGGCUGACUAGAGUGCAGUAGGGGAGUCUGGAAUUCCUGGUGUAGCGGUGAAAUGCGCAGAUAUCAGGAGGAACACCGGUGGCGAAGGCGGGACUCUGGGCUGUAACUGACACUGAGGAGCGAAAGCAUGGGGAGCGAACAGGAUUAGAUACCCUGGUAGUCCAUGCCGUAAACGUUGGGCACUAGGUGUGGGGGGCAUUCCACGUUCUCCGCGCCGUAGCUAACGCAUUAAG